UUGACGGCGACCGGCGCACGGGUGAGUAACGCGUAUCCAACCUGCCCUUUACUAUGGGACAGCCCGUCGAAAGGCGGAUUAAUACCGUAUGUUGUCAUGUUGAUGCAUAUUUUCAUGACCAAAGGCUUCGGCCGGUAAAGGAUGGGGAUGCGUCUGAUUAGCUUGCCGGCGGGGUAACGGCCCACCGGGGCGACGAUCAGUAGGGGUUCUGAGAGGAAGGUCCCCCACAUUGGAACUGAGACACGGUCCAAACUCCUACGGAAGGCAGCAG
RNAcentral lists this ribosomal RNA (271 nucleotides) under uncultured bacterium. RNAcentral describes it as "partial 16S ribosomal RNA". It matches the Rfam family "Bacterial small subunit ribosomal RNA", at positions 85 to 354 of the family's 1533-position model. The record is from RNAcentral.